UCCCCUGCGCCGAUGCACGGCGCUCAGCUCCGCGUCGCCUACCAAGGCGUUCCUGGCGCGUACAGUGAAGCUGCCGCCGGCAAGGCUUAUCCGAAAUGUGAAGCGAUACCUUGUGAUCAAUUUGAGGUUGCAUUUCAAGCCGUUGAACUCUGGAUUGCAGACCGCGCAGUUCUUCCCGUCGAGAACUCUCUCGGAGGUUCCAUUCACCGGAAUUACGACCUCCUCCUCCGUCACCGUCUCCACAUCGUCGGAGAAGUCCAGCUCCCGGUCCACCACUGCCUCUUAGCACUUCCAGGCGUUAGAAAAGAGUACCUAACUCGAGUCAUAAGCCAUCCACAAGCCCUAGCUCAGUGCGAACUCACUCUCACAAAGCUCGGUCUAAACGUAGCUCGCGAAGCCGUCGAUGAUACCGCCGGAGCCGCCGAAUACAUAGCUGCCAACAACCUCCGCGAUACAGCCGCGAUUGCAUCCGCACGCGCCGCGGAC
This 486-nucleotide long non-coding RNA is filed under the name Nicotiana tabacum (common tobacco). Its description in RNAcentral is "long non-coding RNA (NTAB_LNC017162)". The record is from RNAcentral. Lineage: Eukaryota; Viridiplantae; Streptophyta; Magnoliopsida; Solanales; Solanaceae.